This 253-nucleotide ribosomal RNA is filed under the name uncultured bacterium. Its description in RNAcentral is "partial 16S ribosomal RNA". It matches the Rfam family "Bacterial small subunit ribosomal RNA", at positions 524 to 776 of the family's 1533-position model. The record is from RNAcentral.
UACGGAGGGUGCUAGCGUUGUUCGGAAUUACUGGGCGUAAAGCGCGCGUAGGCGGCUUUGUAAGUUAGAGGUGAAAGCCCGGAGCUCAACGCCGGAACUGCCUUUAAAACUGCAUCGCUUGAAUCCAGGAGAGGUGAGUGGAAUUCCGAGUGUAGAGGUGAAAUUCGUAGAUAUUCGGAAGAACACCAGUGGCGAAGGCGGCUCGCUGGACCGGUAUUGACGCUGAGGUGCGAAAGCGUGGGGAGCAAACAGG